This 253-nucleotide ribosomal RNA is filed under the name uncultured bacterium. RNAcentral's name for it is "partial 16S ribosomal RNA". It matches the Rfam family "Bacterial small subunit ribosomal RNA", at positions 524 to 776 of the family's 1533-position model. The record is from RNAcentral.
UACGUAGGGGGCAAGCGUUGUCCGGAAUCAUUGGGCGUAAAGCGCGCGUAGGCGGCUCGAUAAGUCUGCUGUGAAAGUCCAGGGCUCAACCCUGGGAUGCCGGUGGAUACUGUCGAGCUUGAGUCCGGAAGAGGCGAGUGGAAUUCCUGGUGUAGCGGUGAAAUGCGCAGAUAUCAGGAGGAACACCUAUGGCGAAGGCAGCUCGCUGGGACGUGACUGACGCUGAGACGCGAAAGCGUGGGGAGCAAACAGG